GUAGCUCAGCUGGGAGAGCACCUGCUUUGCAAGCAGGAGGUCAUCGGUUCGAUCCCGUUUGCCUCCA
RNAcentral lists this transfer RNA (67 nucleotides) under Lactobacillus delbrueckii. RNAcentral describes it as "tRNA-Ala". It matches the Rfam family "tRNA". Rfam says of the family: Transfer RNA (tRNA) molecules are approximately 80 nucleotides in length. Their secondary structure includes four short double-helical elements and three loops (D, anti-codon, and T loops). Further hydrogen bonds mediate the characteristic L-shaped molecular structure. tRNAs have two regions of fundamental functional importance: the anti-codon, which is responsible for specific mRNA codon recognition, and the 3' end, to which the tRNAs corresponding amino acid is attached (by aminoacyl-tRNA synthetases). tRNAs cope with the degeneracy of the genetic code in two manners: having more than one tRNA (with a specific anti-codon) for a particular amino acid; and 'wobble' base-pairing, i.e. permitting non-standard base-pairing at the 3rd anti-codon position. The record is from RNAcentral. Lineage: Bacteria; Bacillati; Bacillota; Bacilli; Lactobacillales; Lactobacillaceae.